RNAcentral lists this ribosomal RNA (252 nucleotides) under uncultured bacterium. RNAcentral describes it as "partial 16S ribosomal RNA". It matches the Rfam family "Bacterial small subunit ribosomal RNA", at positions 524 to 776 of the family's 1533-position model. The record is from RNAcentral.
UACGUAGGUGGCGAGCGUUAUCCGGAAUGAUUGGGCGUAAAGGGUGCGUAGGCGGCCUGCUAAGUCAGCGGUAAAAUUGCGGGGCUCAACCCCGUACAGCCGUUGAAACUGCCGGGCUCGAGUGGGCGAGAAGUAUGCGGAAUGCGUGGUGUAGCGGUGAAAUGCAUAGAUAUCACGCAGAACCCCGAUUGCGAAGGCAGCAUACCGGCGCCCGACUGACGCUGAGGCACGAAAGUGCGGGGAUCAAACAGG